ACCAAAAUAGCAAGUAGGUCAAAUGAAACGGGACAGAGGAAGUAACUAACACCAGACACAUAAAACCACCUUGUUAAAACUACUUGUAGACAAUAAUUUGCGUCAAAAAAAUAAAAUAAAGACCGAAAAAUAUCGCAACAAUAAUAGUAUUUGAUUUCAAGUAAUUUGAGUGUACUAUCUCUAUGAAUCCUCUGAUUCUUCUUUCCAAAAGUAAAUAAAUUCAAGAGCCCUUGAGCUUGAUCUUGAAUAUCUUGUUGCCACGAGCGAUGAUCUUGAAUUCAACUAGCACGAACUUUGAUUUGAACUCGUACUCCUUAAAUCUUGAUCUGUUCUUCGUUCUUGAGCUUGAGCUUGAUUGCUUGAACUUGAACUUGAUUUGUUCUUUUGUCACGACCCAUUUUCUGAACAAGCCGUGACCGGCACCCAAUCACUAAACAUGACCGAGCGAACCAUUUGUGCUUAUCAAAUCUAUUAUAACUUCAAACUUUAUAUGCAACAAGGCAAUACUUUAAACAAAUACUUUUGAUUAAUUUAAAUAUUUAAAAUAAAUCAACUCCAAAACUUUAUUCGUAGUAACUACUGAAAUACUGCUAAGUUAUUAUCAAAAACAUCUGAAUCUUAACCCACCGACUGUGUCUAUGAAGCCUCUACUGAUAAACCGACGCACUACUCAGGACAUGAGAUUUCCUGGCCAGUUCUCUAAGUGAACAAAGAAAUAGCUAAAUAAAGAUGACUCUAAGGAGUACUCCACGAACAAAAGCGGAGCUCACCAAUAGCACUGGAAGUGAGGGAAGUCCUAACCCAUAGCCUGCUUGCCUGCAAAAUCAGUUCCUACGUUGUAGCAUAGACCAACGUAGGUUCCCAAAAGAGAACGUCAGUACUAUCCAUUGUACUCCGUGAGUCUCAACGACAGGGGAUGAAACUUUAAUAACCUAUAUAUUACAAGCAAAGAUUCUAAAUGCAUGUAAAACAUAAAGCUUAUAAGAACAAUUCUAAAAUAAUUGCAUAAUAGCAGUUUAUGAAUAUUCUAAAAGA
Molecule: long non-coding RNA, 1035 nt
Filed under: Nicotiana tabacum (common tobacco)
Lineage: Eukaryota; Viridiplantae; Streptophyta; Magnoliopsida; Solanales; Solanaceae
Description: long non-coding RNA (NTAB_LNC018895)
Source: RNAcentral